Molecule: long non-coding RNA, 428 nt
Filed under: Nicotiana benthamiana
Lineage: Eukaryota; Viridiplantae; Streptophyta; Magnoliopsida; Solanales; Solanaceae
Description: long non-coding RNA (NBEN_LNC023134)
Source: RNAcentral
AUUUCUCGGCCUCUUCCUCUUUUUGUUUCAAACCCAACGUAGUGAAAAAAAAAAGCAAUGAAUUUUGUAAAAGAAAAUAUAUCAAUCUUUUCACCCGCAUUAACUCCAUUUUUUUUGUAUCCAUCUCAGAUUAGAAGAUAGAUAGAUAAAAGAGAAAGAUCAUUGGAAAAUUGUCGAGUUUCAGCUGAAAAAUUCCACUUACAGAGUCCGACAUCUUCUUUCUUUCUUGAUUUCACCAUUAAUUUCCUUUUUGGACAUAGCCUUGCUAGCUCUUUUGAUGCCUUGACGGAAUUUUAACAGGUGCCCCGUAGGCUCUACGACCUAGGGUAUGAAUUCUAUGAAUUUUAUUAAAAGUGAAAGAUGGAAUGGAUUUUAUGGAAGUUCAUUGUGGAUUGAAGCAUGUGGUCAGGUUAUGGCUGAUAUUUUUU